RNAcentral lists this long non-coding RNA (1285 nucleotides) under Vigna radiata. Its description in RNAcentral is "long non-coding RNA (VRAD_LNC008530)". The record is from RNAcentral. Lineage: Eukaryota; Viridiplantae; Streptophyta; Magnoliopsida; Fabales; Fabaceae.
GAGAAUUGUUUUUGGCUGGGUAACAUUUUUUUUGGCUCAUGUCUGCAACAUUGCUUACACACUUGUCACGGUUUAUGAUGGCUUGAAUCAAAGGAAGAAUGUUUUAUUUUCUAUUUUCGAGCAAGGGUGAUCUUCUUUGCUACUGUUGAAUUUAUUUUAUAUUCAUCACACAAUCAAUAUGCUGAUGGCCGUGAAUGGAUGAGGUUACAUGUUGAUUGAUGGGAGGCAUGUGACAUUUGGUUUUAAUGGUGCAGCCGGUUAUCACAUAGCAUUUUUAUUAAAUUUUCUACUGGAGAUUUCGGUGGGCACAUGUGUUUCACUUUUCAAUUGAAGUUCAUUUUAGAUGUUGUCACGUCUUUGUGCAUUGGGGGCUAAAAAGAAAAGUUGUUUUAGUCUAUUGUUUGCUUGAACUGAGAAACAGACGCUACCUUUAAUUUGGGUUCAUUCACCCUUUUGAUUGAAGUUCUAUUUAAGGGAACACAUGCACACUUGGCUGCAGUGAAGCAAUGAUUUCAUUUUACAAGUUUAGUUUCUUUUCAACUGGUGAUUCGUUUAGGUGAGCACACACACGGGCAUUACUCUUCUUUGAAGCAUCAGGCGCUGAUUCACGUUGCUGGAUGGGACACUUGAGGGCAGUGGAUAAUCAAUGUUGAUGGAAUGGAAGCACGUGAUUUAGGCUGCAGAGGUGUGAUCAAUUAGCUUUGGGAAGUUGUGGUAUGGAGAGAAUGAAUGCCAUUAAUUGGUUAAUUAAAUGAAGUUACGGCUGAAGCAAAUGGCAACCACGGUGGCAACUUGAUGGGAUGUUGGGUGCAGCUGAAAAUAGGCAAGGGUCCCACUGAGUUGGAAGCACAUGGCUAUUUGACAUUUAUUUUUUUUGGAGAGUACAUGAGUAAUGGUUGCAUACGUUACUGCCACGUUUUGUAGAAGAUAAAUAACUUUGAUUUUGAAGCAUUGAAUUGGCUGCAGCAAUCUCGCGACAAAGGUUUAUUCUUUGGGCCAUUUCAAUUUUAAUUUCAUUAGGUGAAAGUACUUGGGCACGUGAGUAAAAAUAUACAUGUUUAUUUCUUUAGCUUUUUAAUUAGUUUGCAUAUUAGGAUUAGUUGUUUUUAAUUGCUUUAAUUUAGUUUUGUAUUUAAUUUAAUUUAACUGUGUUUAGAUAUUUGUUUAGUCUAGUAUUGGGGUUUGCAUUUUCAUUUUUUUUAAUGCUUUCUAUCAUGUUCGAGUUGUGUUUCAUUGCCAUGCAUUUUAAUUUAGUGUAAUUCUCAUAUCAAAUACUUUCAACCCC